RNAcentral lists this non-coding RNA (23 nucleotides) under Arabidopsis thaliana (thale cress). Lineage: Eukaryota; Viridiplantae; Streptophyta; Magnoliopsida; Brassicales; Brassicaceae. The record is from RNAcentral.
UUAUUACAGUGCGGUACGGUUCA